GGAACAGGUAUGGUUACUGCUCCUGCUGACGGUUAAAGUGCUUCCAGUGACUGCUCAGUUCAAUGGAUACAACUGUGAUGCUAACCUCCAUAGCCGGUUUCCUGCUGAACGAGAUAUCAAUGUUUUCUGUGGAGUACAGACAAUUACUAUGAAGAUAAAUUUUUGCACAGUUCUUUUCUCUGGUUAUUCUGAGACGGAUCUGGCACUGAAUGGGAAGCAUGGGGAUGCUCACUGCAGGGGUUUCAUCAAUAACAACACCUUUCCAGCAGUGGUCAUUUUCAUCAUCAAUCUGAGUACUUUGGAAUCCUGUGGAAACACUUUAGUGAAUCUGAUCCAGGAGCUGACCUUGAAGUCUGUUUUGUCCCAGUAUAAUUUAAUUUUCUU
Long non-coding RNA from Eurypyga helias (sunbittern), 384 nucleotides. RefSeq lists it as uncharacterized. The record is from RefSeq and is a predicted model, not a curated record. The transcript has 3 exons. Lineage: Eukaryota; Metazoa; Chordata; Aves; Eurypygiformes; Eurypygidae.